This 1044-nucleotide ribosomal RNA is filed under the name uncultured bacterium. RNAcentral's name for it is "bacterial SSU rRNA". It matches the Rfam family "Archaeal small subunit ribosomal RNA", at positions 1 to 1030 of the family's 1478-position model. The record is from RNAcentral.
UUCCGGUUGAUCCUGCCGGAGGUCACUGCUAUUGGAGUUCGAUUAAGCCAUGCGAGUCAAGAGUUCUUCGUGAACUCGGCGGACUGCUCAGUAACACGUGGGUAAUCUACCCUAAGGUCAGGGAUAAUCCCGGGAAACUGGGAAUAAUACCUGAUAGGUGAAGAUGUCUGGAACGAUACUUCGCCCAAAGCUCCGGCGCCUUAGGAUGAGCCUGCGCCCGAUUAGGUUGUUGGUGGUGUAAAGGACCACCAAGCCCGUUAUCGGUACGGGUGUUGAGAGACAUAGCCCGGAGAUGGGGGCUGAGACACGGCCCCAGGCCCUACGGGGCGCAGCAGGCGCGGAAACUACGCAAUGCGCGAAAGCGUGACGUGGGAACUCCAAGUGCCUUGCCUUAGGGUGAGGCUUUUGUUUAGUGUAAGUAGCUAAACGAAUAAGUGCUGGGUAAGACCGGUGCCAGCCGCCGCGGUAAUACCGGCAGCGCAAGUGNGUGACCGCUUUUAUUNGGNGCCCUAAAGCGUUCGUAGCCGGUUUGGUAAGUCUUUGGGUAAAUCCUCCAGCUUAACUGGAGGAAUUCCGGAGAUACUGCCAGACUUGGAGUUGAGAGAGGUCAGAGGUACCUCUGGGGUAGGGGUGAAAUCCUAUAAUCCUAGGGGGACCACCAGUGGCGAAGGCGUCUGACUAGAGCAAGCUCGACGGUGAGGGACGAAAGCCAGGGGCGCGAACGGGAUUAGAUACCCCGGUAGUCCUGGCCGUAAACGCUGCGCGCUAGGUGUUGCAUGCUCUACGAGGGCGUGCAGUGCCGAAGAGAAGUUGAUAAGCGUGCCGCCUGGGAAGUAUUACCGCAAGGUAGAAACUUAAAGGAAUUGGCGGGGGAGCACCACAAGGGGUGGAGUCUGCGGUUCAAUUGGAUUCAACGCCGGNAAAGCCGAAUUCUGCAGAUAUCCAUCACACUGGCGGCCGCUCGAGCAUGCAUCUAGAGGGCCCAAUUCGCCCUAUAGUGAGUCGUAUUACAAUUCACUGGCCGUCGUUUUACAACGUCGUGAU